RNAcentral lists this ribosomal RNA (476 nucleotides) under uncultured anaerobic ammonium-oxidizing bacterium. RNAcentral describes it as "bacterial SSU rRNA". It matches the Rfam family "Bacterial small subunit ribosomal RNA", at positions 365 to 832 of the family's 1533-position model. The record is from RNAcentral.
UUCGCAAUGCCCGAAAGGGUGACGAUGCGACGCCGCGUGAGCGAAGAAGGCCCUAGGGUUGUAAAGCUCUGUCGAGGGUUAUGAAAUAUAGAUGGGUUAAUACCCCAUUUAUUUGACAAAAGCCCAAAAGGGAGCCACGGCUAACUCUGUGCCAGCAGCCGCGGUAAUACAGAGGUGGCGAGCGUUGUUCGGUAUUAUUGGGCGUAAAGAGCACGUAGGUGGUUUUGUAAGUCAGGUGUGAAGGCCUUCUGUUCAAAGGAAGAGCGGCGUCUGUAACUGCAGAUCUUGAGUGUAGGAGGGGAGAGUGGAACUUCUGGUGGAGCGGUGAAAUGCGUAGAUAUCAGAAGGAACGUCGGCGGCGAAAGCGACUCUCUGGCCUAUUACUGACACUGAGGUGCGAAAGUUAGGGGAGCAAACGGGAUUAGAUACCCCGGUAGUCCUAACCGUAAACGAUGGGCACUAAGUAGAGGGGUUUU